Pongo pygmaeus (Bornean orangutan) is the source of this 255-nucleotide long non-coding RNA. RefSeq lists it as uncharacterized. The record is from RefSeq and is a predicted model, not a curated record. The transcript has 3 exons. Lineage: Eukaryota; Metazoa; Chordata; Mammalia; Primates; Hominidae.
UCUUCCUGGUGCAACUCCCGUGUGGUCCUGUGUAGCAGCCUUCUCUCCUUUGGAGAAGGCUUCUCUAAAAUGCAAAUUUGCUGAUGUGAAUGGUAAACUCAUGUGAGAGGAAAUGGUUCACUGGCAUUCUUUCACUCUGGAGCACAGUUCUGAGACAGGGCCCAUAGAUUCAAGAAAGCAAAAUGGGAUAAGGAUACAAGAGGAAAUGGUGUGAGCCCAAGAAAUUACUAGGAUUCCUUCUUCCUAUUCCAGGUA